AAUGAACGCUGGCGGAAUGCUUUACACAUGCAAGUCGAACGGCAGCACGGGGGCAACCCUGGUGGCGAGUGGCGAACGGGUGAGUAAUACAUCGGAACGUGCCCAGUCGUGGGGGAUAACGUAGCGAAAGUUACGCUAAUACCGCAUACGAUCUACGGAUGAAAGCGGGGGACCGUAAGGCCUCGCGCGAUUGGAGCGGCCGAUGUCAGAUUAGGUAGUUGGUGAGGUAAAGGCUCACCAAGCCGACGAUCUGUAGCUGGUCUGAGAGGACGACCAGCCACACUGGGACUGAGACACGGCCCAGACUCCUACGGGAGGCAGCAGUGGGGAAUUUUGGACAAUGGGCGCAAGCCUGAUCCAGCCAUUCCGCGUGCAGGACGAAGGCCUUCGGGUUGUAAACUGCUUUUGUACGGAACGAAAAGGCUCUGGUUAAUACCUGGGGCUCAUGACGGUACCGUAAGAAUAAGCACCGGCUAACUACGUGCCAGCAACCGCGGUAA
Molecule: ribosomal RNA, 500 nt
Filed under: uncultured bacterium
Lineage: Bacteria
Description: partial 16S ribosomal RNA
Rfam family: Bacterial small subunit ribosomal RNA
Source: RNAcentral